RNAcentral lists this ribosomal RNA (468 nucleotides) under uncultured bacterium. Its description in RNAcentral is "partial 16S ribosomal RNA". It matches the Rfam family "Bacterial small subunit ribosomal RNA", at positions 28 to 507 of the family's 1533-position model. The record is from RNAcentral.
GACGAACGCUGGCGGCGUGCUUAACACAUGCAAGUCGAACGGAAAGGCCCUGCUUUUGUGGGGUGCUCGAGUGGCGAACGGGUGAGUAACACGUGAGUAACCUGCCCUUGACUUUGGGAUAACUUCAGGAAACUGGGGCUAAUACCGGAUAGGAGCUCCUGCUGCAUGGUGGGGGUUGGAAAGUUUCGGCGGUUGGGGAUGGACUCGCGGCUUAUCAGCUUGUUGGUGGGGUAGUGGCUUACCAAGGCUUUGACGGGUAGCCGGCCUGAGAGGGUGACCGGCCACAUUGGGACUGAGGUCAGACCCGGACUCCUACGGGAGGCAGCAGUGGGGAAUAUUGCACAAUGGGCGGAAGCCUGAUGCAGCAACGCCGCGUGCGGGAUGACGGCCUUCGGGUUGUAAACCGCUUUCGCCUGUGACGAAGCGUGAGUGACGGUAAUGGGUAAAGAAGCACCGGCUAACUACGUG